CCUACGGGAGGCAGCAGUGAGGAAUAUUGGUCAAUGGGCGCUAGCCUGAACCAGCCAAGUAGCGUGAAGGAUGACUGCCCUAUGGGUUGUAAACUUCUUUUAUAUGGGAAUAAAGUGCAGUAUGUAUACUGCUUUGCAUGUACCUUAUGAAUAGGGAUCGGCUAACUCCGUGCCAGCAGCCGCGGUAAUACGGAGGAUCCGAGCGUUAUCCGGAUUUAUUGGGUUUAAAGGGAGCGUAGGCGGGUUGUUAAGUCAGUUGUGAAAGUUUGCGGCUCAACCGUAAAAUUGCAGUUGAUACUGGCAUCCUGGAGUACAGUAGAGGUAGGCGGAAUUCGUGGUGUAGCGGUGAAAUGCUUAGAUAUCACGAAGAACUCCGAUUGCGAAGGCAUCCUGCUGGACUGUAACUGACGCUGAUGCUCGAAAGUGUGGGUAUCAAACAGGAUUAGAUACCCCAGUAGUC
Molecule: ribosomal RNA, 460 nt
Filed under: uncultured bacterium
Lineage: Bacteria
Description: partial 16S ribosomal RNA
Rfam family: Bacterial small subunit ribosomal RNA
Source: RNAcentral